Molecule: long non-coding RNA, 462 nt
Organism: Mastomys coucha (southern multimammate mouse)
Lineage: Eukaryota; Metazoa; Chordata; Mammalia; Rodentia; Muridae
Exons: 4
Source: RefSeq, a predicted model, not a curated record
GAACUUUUGUAAAGUAUAACAAGAACAGCUAAUUCUUUCCACAUGUUUGGGCAUGACAUUAGCUAAAAUAUCCAGUACAGUGUUGAAAUACAGUGGUGAGAAGAGGCAUCCUUGUCUUGUUUCUGCUAUUGAUAUUAGGAGGCUUGUCUGAAAUGCUAACAUCCAGGAGAGGAUUUUCUUCCGUUCUCUUUCCCAUCAGAUCUCCAUGAGAAUCUGAUUGUAAAUAAAACUAAAUACAUCAGAAAUUGAUAUUUCACUGCACUUUGAAAAUAUAAAGAACUCAUUUGAAGAAAUACCAUUGAAAAUAAAGGUGGACAGAAUUCUUAAUGUGCAUGAGAGUGAUCAGAGGUCAAAACAGGCAGUUGCUUACACAGAAAAACAUGGCAGAAAUCAAUCUUUAGAAAAUCAACAGGAAGACUUACAGCCCGUGGUCUCUCUGGUCAAGCAGCAGAUUCAUUGGAA